CUUGACACUAGGUGGGUAGGAGCAGGAGGACAGCGGCCUGCCAACAGGUUGUUCCAGGCGGUAGGCGGCUUUGGGGUCGCCCCAGGAGUCCAGCUGCGAGAGACCAAUGGGAUUUGAAAAUGGCCUUGAUGAUUCAGACGGCCGUGACGUCAGCGGGGUCAAGUUGUCGGCAGGAGGAGCGCGCAGCGUAGAGUAACAGCGCCACCUAGCAGCUGCCUCCGGGAAUCAGCCUGUAACUCCUGGGGAGAGGGGCUGAAGAGGGGGAAAAUGCGGGAGAGAGAGAAAAAUGCAUGAUUCAACACGGCCUCAAAACAGUCAAAUUCAAAUUAAAAGGUCAAGACACGAUUCAGGAAACGGAAUCGGAGAAUAACUUGUCUUUCCGGUAGCCCCGCAUUUUUUCCCCCCUGGGGUCUCGACUUUCCGAACCUCGGAAGCCUGGCGGGGAGACGACCCUAGUGCCGAGCGGGCGAGCGCCGGCGUGGACAAGUGAGGAGGCCCGAUGGCUUCUAGGGAGGCCCCAGCCAGCUCCACUGGAAGAAGACUUCGGAAAGAAAUGCCUCCGAAUUCCCUCAGCUAGGGGUGGAAUGAGAAGAUGCAAGGGUCCCUUAACUCUCCGGAAAAAAAAAAAAAAAAAAAAAAAAA
Molecule: long non-coding RNA, 642 nt
Organism: Jaculus jaculus (lesser Egyptian jerboa)
Lineage: Eukaryota; Metazoa; Chordata; Mammalia; Rodentia; Dipodidae
Exons: 4
Source: RefSeq, a predicted model, not a curated record